Molecule: ribosomal RNA, 254 nt
Filed under: uncultured bacterium
Lineage: Bacteria
Description: partial 16S ribosomal RNA
Rfam family: Bacterial small subunit ribosomal RNA
Source: RNAcentral
UACAGGGGGGGCAAGCGUUGUUCGGAAUUACUGGGCGUAAAGGGUCUGUAGGUGGCCAACUAAGUCAGACGUGAAAUCCCUCAGCUUAACUGGGGGAACUGCGUCUGAUACUGGAUGGCUUGAGUGUGGGAGAGGAAUGCGGAUUUCCAGGUGUAGCGGUGAAAUGCGUAGAUAUCAGGAGGAACACCUAUGGCGAAGGCAGCUCGCUGGGACGGUACUGACGCUGAGGCGCGAAAGCGUGGGGAGCGAACAGG